AAAUUGAAGAGUUUGAUCAUGGCUCAGAUUGAACGCUGGCGGCAGGCCUAACACAUGCAAGUCGAACGGUAACAGGAAGCAGCUUGCUGCUUUGCUGACGAGUGGCGGACGGGUGAGUAAUGUCUGGGAAACUGCCUGAUGGAGGGGGAUAACUACUGGAAACGGUAGCUAAUACCGCAUAACGUCGCAAGACCAAAGAGGGGGACCUUCGGGCCUCUUGCCAUCGGAUGUGCCCAGAUGGGAUUAGCUAGUAGGUGGGGUAACGGCUCACCUAGGCGACGAUC
RNAcentral lists this ribosomal RNA (284 nucleotides) under Escherichia coli. Its description in RNAcentral is "partial 16S ribosomal RNA". It matches the Rfam family "Bacterial small subunit ribosomal RNA", at positions 1 to 281 of the family's 1533-position model. Lineage: Bacteria; Pseudomonadati; Pseudomonadota; Gammaproteobacteria; Enterobacterales; Enterobacteriaceae. The record is from RNAcentral.